AAGCUCGUAGUUGAAUUUCGGGAUUAGUACGUCGGUCGUGCCUUAGGUACGUACUGGUGUUACUGGUUCCUACCUUCUGACGAACCAUCAUGUCAUUAAUUUGGUGUGGUGGGGAAUCAGGACUGUUACUUUGAAAAAAUUAGAGUGUUUAAAGCGGGCUCGCGCUUGAAUACAUUAGCAUGGAAUAAUGAAAUAGGACGUUGAUCCUAUUUUGUUGGUUUCUAGGAUUGACGUAAUGAUUAAUAGGGAUAGUUGGG
Molecule: ribosomal RNA, 257 nt
Filed under: uncultured Glomus
Lineage: Eukaryota; Fungi; Glomeromycota; Glomeromycetes; Glomerales; Glomeraceae
Description: partial 18S ribosomal RNA
Rfam family: Eukaryotic small subunit ribosomal RNA
Source: RNAcentral